ACGCUCGACACCUACGGGAGGCAGCAGUCGGGAAUAUUGCGCAAUGGAGGGAACUCUGACGCAGUGACGCCGCGUAUAGGAAGAAGGUUUUCGGAUUGUAAACUAUUGCCGUUAGGGAAGAGAAAGGACAGUACCUAAGGAGGAAGCUCCGGCUAACUACGUGCUAGCAGCCGCGGUAAUCUGAGCGGGCUGGCAAGGC
Molecule: ribosomal RNA, 199 nt
Filed under: uncultured bacterium
Lineage: Bacteria
Description: partial 16S ribosomal RNA
Rfam family: Bacterial small subunit ribosomal RNA
Source: RNAcentral